Molecule: ribosomal RNA, 459 nt
Filed under: Streptococcus mutans
Lineage: Bacteria; Bacillati; Bacillota; Bacilli; Lactobacillales; Streptococcaceae
Description: bacterial SSU rRNA
Rfam family: Bacterial small subunit ribosomal RNA
Source: RNAcentral
GACGAACGCGGCGGCGUGCCUAAUACAUGCAAGUGGGACGCAAGGGAACACACUGUGCUUGCACACCGUGUUUUCUUGAGUCGCGAACGGGUGAGUAACGCGUAGGUAACCUGCCUAUUAGCGGGGGAUAACUAUUGGAAACGAUAGCUAAUACCGCAUAAUAUUAAUUAUUGCAUGAUAAUUGAUUGAAAGAUGCAAGCGCAUCACUAGUAGAUGGACCUGCGUUGUAUUAGCUAGUUGGUAAGGUAAGAGCUUACCAAGGCGACGAUACAUAGCCGACCUGAGAGGGUGAUCGGCCACACUGGGACUGAGACACGGCCCAGACUCCUACGGGAGGCAGCAGUAGGGAAUCUUCGGCAAUGGACGAAAGUCUGACCGAGCAACGCCGCGUGAGUGAAGAAGGUUUUCGGAUCGUAAAGCUCUGUUGUAAGUCAAGAACGUGUGUGAGAGUGGAAAGUC